AGAGUUUGAUCCUGGCCCAGGAUGAACGCUGGCGGCGUGCUUAACACAUGCAAGUCGAACGGGGAUGCCAUCUUUGAAGCGAUUAGCUUGCUAAGAGUGGAAAUGUUGGCAUCUUAGUGGCGGACGGGUGAGUAACGCGUGGGGAACCUGCCCUGUACAGGGGGAUAACACUUAGAAAUAGGUGCUAAUACCGCAUAAGCGCACAGUAUCGCAUGAUACAGUGUGAAAAACUCCGGUGGUACAGGAUGGACCCGCGUCUGAUUAGCUGGUUGGCGGGGUAACGGCCCACCAAGGCGACGAUCAGUAGCCGGCCUGAGAGGGUGAACGGCCACAUUGGGACUGAGACACGGCCCAAACUCCUACGGGAGGCAGCAGUGGGGAAUAUUGGACAAUGGGGGGAACCCUGAUCCAGCGACGCCGCGUGAGUGAAGAAGUAUUUCGGUAUGUAAAGCUCUAUCAGCGGGGAAGAAAAUGACGGUACCUGACUAAGAAGCCCCGGCUAACUACGUGCCAGCAGCCGCGGUAAUACGUAGGGGGCAAGCGUUAUCCGGAUUUACUGGGUGUAAAGGGAGCGUAGACGGUGCAGCAAGUCUGAUGUGAAAGGUCGGGGCCCAACCCCGGGACUGCAUUGGAAACUGUUGAACUGGAGUACAGGAGAGGUAAGCGGAAUUCCUAGUGUAGCGGUGAAAUGCGUAGAUAUUAGGAGGAACACCAGUGGCGAAGGCGGCUUACUGGACUGUAACUGACGUUGAGGCUCGAAAGCGUGGGGAGCAAACAGGAUUAGAUACCCUGGUAGUCCACGCCGUAAAC
Molecule: ribosomal RNA, 810 nt
Filed under: uncultured bacterium
Lineage: Bacteria
Description: bacterial SSU rRNA
Rfam family: Bacterial small subunit ribosomal RNA
Source: RNAcentral